RNAcentral lists this ribosomal RNA (492 nucleotides) under uncultured bacterium. RNAcentral's name for it is "partial 16S ribosomal RNA". It matches the Rfam family "Bacterial small subunit ribosomal RNA", at positions 29 to 507 of the family's 1533-position model. The record is from RNAcentral.
AGUGAACGCUGGCGGUAGGCCUAACACAUGCAAGUCGAACGGCAGCACAGUAAGAGCUUGCUCUUACGGGUGGCGAGUGGCGGACGGGUGAGGAAUACAUCGGAAUCUACUUUUUCGUGGGGGAUAACGUAGGGAAACUUACGCUAAUACCGCAUACGACCUACGGGUGAAAGCUGGGGAUCUUCGGACCUUGCGCGAUUGAAUGAGCCGAUGUCGGAUUAGCUAGUUGGCGGGGUAAAGGCCCACCAAGGCGACGAUCCGUAGCUGGUCUGAGGGGAUGAUCAGCCACACUGGAACUGAGACACGGUCCAGACUCCUACGGGAGGCAGCAGUGGGGAAUAUUGGACAAUGGGCGCAAGCCUGAUCCAGCCAUACCGCGUGGGUGAAGAAGGCCUUCGGGUUGUAAAGCCCUUUUGUUGGGAAAGAAAAGCAGCAGGUUAAUACCCCGCUGUUCUGACGGUACCCAAAGAAUAAGCACCGGCUAACUUCGUG